Molecule: long non-coding RNA, 1027 nt
Organism: Solanum lycopersicum (tomato)
Lineage: Eukaryota; Viridiplantae; Streptophyta; Magnoliopsida; Solanales; Solanaceae
Source: RefSeq, a predicted model, not a curated record
GCCUAUAAUUUUUUGGACCACCCAACGACCUAUCUUCCUUUUUCUUCUAGGCAGUCCACAAAUGCCAGUGAACCGACUCGAAACAAUAAAUAACGCAGCAAGUCAGACACCGUUUCCCUCCCUUUUCGGUACUAUCAAACCCAAACCCAUUAGUUUUCAUGACCAAACAAUACCCAUAGAAACAACAAGAAAACUCCAUCUACGGCGAACCAUGAAAACUCCAUCUCCAGAGAGCAAAUCUGGCUUGAAGAUCAAGCAUUCCACCAGUGACCAUUGCUUGAAGCCAUUAAUGGCGAAGUUAUUAUCGGAGUAUUGAGCCACCAUUCAUAUUCUCCGGCGAAACAUGCUAGCUCCUGCAAAGCUCAGAUCCAAAAUCGACCACCGCGAGCUCGAAGCUCAAGCGACAAAGCGUAGAACCCUACCUUCGUUUCUCCAUUCUCCAGCGUUUCCAUCGAUUCUCCAGCGAAACCCACAAAAUUCUACGAGACCCAGUGGCCUCUCUAUCGUUCUCUAUUUCUUAUGAUUACUACUCUCCAAUCUUCUUCUCUCCCUCCAUCUCCGGCAGCCGCCCCCUCUCCUCUCUUCCCCCCAUUUCUCCCCCUUUCUCCUUCCCCUGUUCUCUUCUUCUUUUUCAGGGACAGCGACGGUGAGUUGCAACAACCAGCAGCAGUGGCCAGCUUCCAGGCAGCCUGCAACAGCAAACAGCAGCUAACAAUCAACGUUGAGGUCUGCCAAUAGCUCACCCAUACACAUCAACGAAUCAGGCUGUCUUCUGCUAACGAAUAUCUGUGGUCUCCAAUUUGAAAUCUUGCCGCGCUGAAAGCUGCCUCUUAAGCUACUGAUGAUCCUUGAAUUGCAAGCACAUCCUUCACCAUCCUACUAAGUUUUGGAUAUUGAGCUCCACGAUUUCUCCACUAGUUCAAUAGUUUCGGUAUACCAUUAUCGUUUGUAAUAUCAUCUGUACCCUGUUCAAGAUAUUUAACAAAUUCACAUUUAUUAGAAGAGUCAAGACCAAGUUUAUGUUUCA